CUAGCGGCGGAUGGGUGAGUAACACGUGGGCAAUCUGCCCUAAAGACUGGGAUACCACUUGGAAACAGGUGCUAAUACCGGAUAACAACAUGAAUCGCAUGAUUCAAGUUUGAAAGGCGGCGCAAGCUGUCACUUUAGGAUGAGCCCGCGGCGCAUUAGCUAGUUGGUGGGGUAAAGGCCUACCAAGGCAAUGAUGCGUAGCCGAGUUGAGAGACUGAUCGGCCACAUUGGGACUGAGACACGGCCCAAACUCCUACGGGAGGCAGCAGUAGGGAAUCUUCCACAAUGGACGCAAGUCUGAUGGAGCAACGCCGCGUGAGUGAAGAAGGUCUUCGGAUCGUAAAGCUCUGUUGUUGGUGAAGAAGGAUAGAGGCAGUAACUGGUCUUUAUUUGACGGUAAUCAACCAGAAAGUCACGGCUAACUACGUGCCAGCAGCCGCGGUAAUACGUAGGUGGCAAGCGUUGUCCGGAUUUAUUGGGCGUAAAGCGAGCGCAGGCGGAAUGAUAAGUCUGAUGUGAAAGCCCACGGCUCAACCGUGGAACUGCAUCGGAAACUGUCAUUCUUGAGUGCAGAAGAGGAGAGUGGAACUCCAUGUGUAGCGGUGGAAUGCGUAGAUAUAUGGAAGAACACCAGUGGCGAAGGCGGCUCUCUGGUCUGCAACUGACGCUGAGGCUCGAAAGCAUGGGUAGCGAACAGGAUUAGAUACCCUGGUAGUCCAUGCCGUAAACGAUGAGCGCUAGGUGUUGGGGACUUUCCGGUCCUCAGUGCCGCAGCAAACGCAUUAAGCGCUCC
Molecule: ribosomal RNA, 793 nt
Filed under: Lactobacillus delbrueckii subsp. bulgaricus
Lineage: Bacteria; Bacillati; Bacillota; Bacilli; Lactobacillales; Lactobacillaceae
Description: bacterial SSU rRNA
Rfam family: Bacterial small subunit ribosomal RNA
Source: RNAcentral